This 253-nucleotide ribosomal RNA is filed under the name uncultured bacterium. RNAcentral describes it as "partial 16S ribosomal RNA". It matches the Rfam family "Bacterial small subunit ribosomal RNA", at positions 524 to 776 of the family's 1533-position model. The record is from RNAcentral.
UACGUAGGGGGCAAGCGUUGUCCGGAUUUAUUGGGCGUAAAGCGCGCGUAGGCGGCGCGGUAUGUCGUGCGUGAAAUCUCCCGGCUUAACUGGGAGGGGCCGUGCGAAACUGCCGGGCUUGAGGUCGGAAGGGGAAAGUGGAAUUCCGGGUGUAUUGGUGGAAUACGUAGAUAUCCGGAGGAACACCAGCGGCGAAGGCGGCUUUCUGGUCCGAUACUGACGCUGAGGCGCGAAAGCGUGGGGAGCGAUCCGG